RNAcentral lists this ribosomal RNA (253 nucleotides) under uncultured bacterium. Its description in RNAcentral is "partial 16S ribosomal RNA". It matches the Rfam family "Bacterial small subunit ribosomal RNA", at positions 524 to 776 of the family's 1533-position model. The record is from RNAcentral.
UACGUAGGGUGCAAGCGUUAAUCGGAAUUACUGGGCGUAAAGGGCGCGUAGGCGGUUUGAUAAGUCAGAUGUGAAAGCCCACGGCUUAACUGUGGAAGUGGAUUUGAAACUGUCAGACUUGAGUAUCAGAGGGGAAAGUGGAAUUCCAGGUGUAGAGGUGAAAUUCGUAGAUAUCGGGAGGAAUACCGGUGGCGAAGGCGACUUUCUGGCUGAAUACUGACGAUGAGGCGCGAAAGAGUGGGGAGCAAACAGG